UUUUGAUUUUACAACAGAGAGAUUUGGACCGACUCUGCCUCUGCCGUUCCACUCUCGUUGU
This 61-nucleotide small RNA is filed under the name Arabidopsis thaliana (thale cress). Its description in RNAcentral is "ATSL140380". Lineage: Eukaryota; Viridiplantae; Streptophyta; Magnoliopsida; Brassicales; Brassicaceae. The record is from RNAcentral.